RNAcentral lists this unclassified non-coding RNA (241 nucleotides) under plant metagenome. RNAcentral describes it as "partial contains small subunit ribosomal RNA, internal transcribed spacer 1, and 5.8S ribosomal RNA". The record is from RNAcentral.
UUUCCGUAGGUGAACCUGCGGAAGGAUCAUUAUUGAAUGAAACACUUCUGGCUUUAUGCUGUUGUGCUGGCCCUUUGGGCAAUGUGCACACGGCUCUGGUCACUUGUUUCUUCUGUUCCACCUGUGCACUGCCUGUAGACACGCAGUGUCUAUGAUAUUUGUUAACACACAACAAUGUUAGUUGGCAUGUUAUAUAUAAUAAUAAAAUAUACAACUUUCAACAACGGAUCUCUUGGCUCUC